Molecule: ribosomal RNA, 468 nt
Filed under: uncultured bacterium
Lineage: Bacteria
Description: bacterial SSU rRNA
Rfam family: Bacterial small subunit ribosomal RNA
Source: RNAcentral
GAUGAACGCUGGCGGCGUGCCUAACACAUGCAAGUCGAGCGAUUUACUUCGGUAAAGAGCGGCGGACGGGUGAGUAACGCGUGGGUAACCUGCCCUGUACACACGGAUAACAUACCGAAAGGUAUGCUAAUACGAGAUAAUAUACUUUUAUCUCAUGGUAGAAGUAUCAAAAGCUCUGGCGGUACAGGAUGGACCCGCGUCUGAUUAGCUAGUUGGUAAGGUAACGGCUUACCAAGGCGACGAUCAGUAGCCGACCUGAGAGGGUGAUCGGCCACAUUGGAACUGAGACACGGUCCAAACUCCUACGGGAGGCAGCAGUGGGGAAUAUUGCACAAUGGGCGAAAGCCUGAUGCAGCAACGCCGCGUGAGCGAUGAAGGCCUUCGGUCGUAAAGACUCUGUCUCAGAAGAUAAUGACGGUACUUGAGGAGGAAGCCCGGCGUAACUACGUAGCCAGCAGCCGCGGUAAU